GGUCAAGUGAAGAAGCGCAUACGGUGGAUGCCUUGGCAGUCAGAGGCGAUGAAAGACGUGGUAGCCUGCGAAAAGCUUCGGGGAGUCGGCAAACAGACUGUGAUCCGGAGAUGUCUGAAUGGGGGAACCCAGCCAUCAUAAGAUGGUUAUCUUGUACUGAAUACAUAGGUGCAAGAGGCGAACCAGGGGAACUGAAACAUCUAAGUACCCUGAGGAAAAGAAAUCAACCGAGAUUCCCUUAGUAGUGGCGAGCGAACGGGGACCAGCCCUUAAGUUGUAUUGAGAUUAGCGGAACGUUCUGGAAAGGACGGCCAUAGUGGGUGAUAGCCCUGUACGCGAAAAUCCCUUUGCAAUGAAAUCGAGUAGGACGGGGCACGAGAAACCUUGUCUGAAUAUGGGGGGACCAUCCUCCAAGGCUAAAUACUACUGACUGACCGAUAGUGAACCAGUACCGUGAGGGAAAGGCGAAAAGAACCGCGGAGAGCGGAGUGAAAUAGAUCCUGAAACCGUAUGCGUACAAGCAGUGGGAGCCCACUUGUUGGGUGACUGCGUACCUUUUGUAUAAUGGGUCAGCGACUUAUUUUCAGUGGCGAGCUUAACCGAAUAGGGGAGGCGUAGCGAAAGCGAGUCUUAAUAGGGCGUCUAGUCGCUGGGAAUAGACCCGAAACCGGGCGAUCUAUCCAUGGGCAGGUUGAAGGUUGGGUAACACUAACUGGAGGACCGAACCGACUACCGUUGAAAAGUUAGCGGAUGACCUGUGGAUCGGAGUGAAAGGCUAAUCAAGCUCGGAGAUAGCUGGUUCUCCUCGAAAGCUAUUUAGGUAGCGCCUCAUGUAUCACUGUAGGGGGUAGAGCACUGUUUCGGCUAGGGGGUCAUCCCGACUUACCAAACCGAUGCAAACUCCGAAUACCUACAAGUGCCGAGCAUGGGAGACACACGGCGGGUGCUAACGUCCGUCGUGAAAAGGGAAACAACCCAGACCGUCAGCUAAGGUCCCAAAGUCAUGGUUAAGUGGGAAACGAUGUGGGAAGGCUUAGACAGCUAGGAGGUUGGCUUAGAAGCAGCCACCCUUUAAAGAAAGCGUAAUAGCUCACUAGUCGAGUCGGCCUGCGCGGAAGAUGUAACGGGGCUCAAACCAUGCACCGAAGCUACGGGUAUCAUCUUAGGAUGAUGCGGUAGAGGAGCGUUCUGUAAGCCUGUGAAGGUGAGUUGAGAAGCUUGCUGGAGGUAUCAGAAGUGCGAAUGCUGACAUGAGUAACGACAAUGGGUGUGAAAAACACCCACGCCGAAAGACCAAGGUUUCCUGCGCAACGUUAAUCGACGCAGGGUUAGUCGGUCCCUAAGGCGAGGCUGAAAAGCGUAGUCGAUGGAAAACAGGUUAAUAUUCCUGUACUUCUGGUUAUUGCGAUGGAGGGACGGAGAAGGCUAGGCCAGCCUGGCGUUGGUUGUCCAGGUUUAAGGUGGUAGGCUGAGAUCUUAGGUAAAUCCGGGAUCUUAAGGCCGAGAGCUGAUGACGAGUGUUCUUUUAGAACACGAAGUGGUUGAUGCCAUGCUUCCAAGAAAAGCUUCUAAGCUUCAGGUAACCAGGAACCGUACCCCAAACCGACACAGGUGGUUGGGUAGAGAAUACCAAGGCGCUUGAGAGAACUCGGGUGAAGGAACUAGGCAAAAUGGCACCGUAACUUCGGGAGAAGGUGCGCCGGUGGAGGUGAAGCAUUUACUGCGUAAGCCCCUGCCGGUCGAAGAUACCAGGCCGCUGCGACUGUUUAUUAAAAACACAGCACUCUGCAAACACGAAAGUGGACGUAUAGGGUGUGACGCCUGCCCGGUGCCGGAAGGUUAAUUGAUGGGGUUAGCGCAAGCGAAGCUCUUGAUCGAAGCCCCGGUAAACGGCGGCCGUAACUAUAACGGUCCUAAGGUAGCGAAAUUCCUUGUCGGGUAAGUUCCGACCUGCACGAAUGGCGUAACGAUGGCGGCGCUGUCUCCACCCGAGACUCAGUGAAAUUGAAAUCGCUGUGAAGAUGCAGUGUAUCCGCGGCUAGACGGAAAGACCCCGUGAACCUUUACUAUAGCUUUGCACUGGACUUUGAAUUUGCUUGUGUAGGAUAGGUGGGAGGCUUUGAAGCGUGGACGCCAGUCUGCGUGGAGCCAACCUUGAAAUACCACCCUGGCAACUUUGAGGUUCUAACUCAGGUCCGUUAUCCGGAUCGAGGACAGUGUAUGGUGGGUAGUUUGACUGGGGCGGUCUCCUCCUAAAGAGUAACGGAGGAGUACGAAGGUGCGCUCAGACCGGUCGGAAAUCGGUCGUAGAGUAUAAAGGCAAAAGCGCGCUUGACUGCGAGACAGACACGUCGAGCAGGUACGAAAGUAGGUCUUAGUGAUCCGGUGGUUCUGUAUGGAAGGGCCAUCGCUCAACGGAUAAAAGGUACUCCGGGGAUAACAGGCUGAUACCGCCCAAGAGUUCAUAUCGACGGCGGUGUUUGGCACCUCGAUGUCGGCUCAUCACAUCCUGGGGCUGAAGCCGGUCCCAAGGGUAUGGCUGUUCGCCAUUUAAAGUGGUACGCGAGCUGGGUUUAGAACGUCGUGAGACAGUUCGGUCCCUAUCUGCCGUGGACGUUUGAGAUUUGAGAGGGGCUGCUCCUAGUACGAGAGGACCGGAGUGGACGAACCUCUGGUGUUCCGGUUGUCACGCCAGUGGCAUUGCCGGGUAGCUAUGUUCGGAAAAGAUAACCGCUGAAAGCAUCUAAGCGGGAAACUUGCCUCAAGAUGAGAUCUCACUGGAACCUUGAGUUCCCUAAAGGGCCGUCGAAGACUACGACGUUGAUAGGUUGGGUGUGUAAGCGCUGUGAGGCGUUGAGCUAACCAAUACUAAUUGCCCGUGAGGCUUGACCAU
RNAcentral lists this ribosomal RNA (2893 nucleotides) under Pseudomonas syringae. RNAcentral's name for it is "23S ribosomal RNA". It matches the Rfam family "Bacterial large subunit ribosomal RNA". Lineage: Bacteria; Pseudomonadati; Pseudomonadota; Gammaproteobacteria; Pseudomonadales; Pseudomonadaceae. RNAcentral also lists the same sequence under 1 other name. The record is from RNAcentral.